This 76-nucleotide transfer RNA is filed under the name Zetaproteobacteria bacterium CG1_02_49_23. RNAcentral's name for it is "tRNA-Gly". It matches the Rfam family "tRNA". Rfam says of the family: Transfer RNA (tRNA) molecules are approximately 80 nucleotides in length. The record is from RNAcentral. Lineage: Bacteria; Pseudomonadati; Pseudomonadota; Candidatius Mariprofundia. RNAcentral also lists the same sequence under 4 other names.
GCGGGUAUAGCUCAGUUGGUAGAGCGCGACCUUGCCAAGGUCGAGGUCACCGGUUCGAACCCGGUUACCCGCUCCA